Molecule: ribosomal RNA, 592 nt
Filed under: uncultured archaeon
Lineage: Archaea
Description: bacterial SSU rRNA
Rfam family: Archaeal small subunit ribosomal RNA
Source: RNAcentral
GUACGGGUUGUGAGAGCAAGAGCCCGGAGAUGGAUUCUGAGACACGAAUCCAGGCCCUACGGGGUGCAGCAGGCGCGAAAACUUUACAAUGCUGGAAACAGCGAUAAGGGGACCUCGAGUGCCAGGUUACAAAUCUGGCUGUCAUGAUGCCUAAAAAGCAUUGCAUAGCAAGGGCCGGGCAAGACCGGUGCCAGCCGCCGCGGUAACACCGGCGGCUCGAGUGGUAACCGUUAUUAUUGGGUCUAAAGGGUCUGUAGCCGGCCGGAUAAGUCUCUUGGGAAAUCUGGCAGCUUAACUGUCAGGCUUUCAGGAGAUACUGUCUGGCUCGAGGCCGGGAGAGGUGAGAGGUACUUCAGGGGUAGGGGUGAAAUCUUGUAAUCCUUGAAGGACCACCAGUGGCGAAGGCGUCUCACCAGAACGGACCUGACGGCAAGGGACGAAAGCUAGGGGCACGAACCGGAUUAGAUACCCGGGUAGUCCUAGCCGUAAACGAUACUCGCUAGGUGUCGGCCACGGUGCGACCGUUGUCGGUGCCGUAGGGAAGCCGUGAAGCGAGCCACCUGGGAAGUACGGCCGCAAGGCUGAAACUUAA